Molecule: ribosomal RNA, 294 nt
Filed under: uncultured archaeon
Lineage: Archaea
Description: partial 16S ribosomal RNA
Source: RNAcentral
UUAAAUGGGGAGCGGGCAAGAAGUAUUGUUUAGGUAGCGAGAGGAGGAAGUAAGAAGUCCGUUUUGAGUAGCGGUUAAAUUAAUUAAUCCCAGACCACCAACAACGAAGAAUUGUGUUAGAACGACAGUUACGGUGAGAAGUGAAAACGGGGGGAGCGACCAAGAUGAGAUACCCGCCUAGUACCAGCUGCAAAAGACGCUGGACAGUUGUCUGUAGGACCUCCUGCAGAUGUGGUACCGCGAAAAAAAGUUAAAGAGGCCGCCUGCGGGAACGAAGUCGCAAGGAAAAAAAAA